Long non-coding RNA from Hirundo rustica (Barn swallow), 322 nucleotides. RefSeq lists it as uncharacterized. The record is from RefSeq and is a predicted model, not a curated record. The transcript is spliced from 3 exons. Lineage: Eukaryota; Metazoa; Chordata; Aves; Passeriformes; Hirundinidae.
CGGAGACAAAGAGCCCUCCUUGCACCUGGUCAGGACACCUGACUUUCUAAACCAAAUCGUGCCCUUCCUCGGUGGUAGGGCUGGGGGCAGAGCAGGGAAUUCAUCUCAGGAGCUGGCAGUACGUGAUCCACCCCAUCUGUGGUACAAGUUUGUGCUGUUAAAGUGCUGGGAAUGAAGCUAUGGCAUAGUUUGGAGAAGUUUUGGGAUGAGAACAUCAAGUGAUGGUCUUUUUUUAAACACACAAUCAAGAGGAGAAACGGUUCUGGAGUUGGUGGAUAAGAGAUGCUUAUCCUUAAGUUACAGUCUUGAAGUAAAUAAAGAU